This 254-nucleotide ribosomal RNA is filed under the name uncultured bacterium. RNAcentral describes it as "partial 16S ribosomal RNA". It matches the Rfam family "Bacterial small subunit ribosomal RNA", at positions 524 to 776 of the family's 1533-position model. The record is from RNAcentral.
UACGUAGGCAGCGAGCGUUGUUCGGAGUUACUGGGCGUAAAGGGUGUGUAGGCGGUUGUUUAAGUUUGGUGUGAAAUCUCCCGGCUCAACUGGGAGGGUGCGCCGAAUACUGAAUGACUUCGAGUGCGGGAGAGGAGAGUGGAAUUCCCGGUGUAGCGGUGAAAUGCGUAGAUAUUGGGAGGAACACCAGUGGCGAAGGCGGCUCACUGGACCGGUUCUGACGCUGAGGCGCGAAAGCGUGGGGAGCAAACGGG